RNAcentral lists this ribosomal RNA (112 nucleotides) under Halomonas sp. ISL-104. RNAcentral's name for it is "partial 16S ribosomal RNA". It matches the Rfam family "Bacterial small subunit ribosomal RNA", at positions 1 to 107 of the family's 1533-position model. The record is from RNAcentral. Lineage: Bacteria; Pseudomonadati; Pseudomonadota; Gammaproteobacteria; Oceanospirillales; Halomonadaceae.
AAACUGAAGAGUUUGAUCAUGGCUCAGAUUGAACGCUGGCGGCAGGCCUAACACAUGCAAGUCGAGCGGUAACAGAUCUAGCUUGCUAGAUGCUGACGAGCGGCGGACGGGU